Molecule: ribosomal RNA, 303 nt
Filed under: uncultured bacterium
Lineage: Bacteria
Description: partial 16S ribosomal RNA
Rfam family: Bacterial small subunit ribosomal RNA
Source: RNAcentral
AGCAGUAGCCACGGUAAUACGAAGGGUGCAAGCGUUAAUCGGAAUUACUGGGCGUAAAGCGCGCGUAGGUGGUUUGGUAAGAUGGAUGUGAAAUCCCCGGGCUCAACCUGGGAACUGCAUCCAUAACUGCCUGACUAGAGUACGGUAGAGGGUGGUGGAAUUUCCUGUGUAGCGGUGAAAUGCGUAGAUAUAGGAAGGAACACCAGUGGCGAAGGCGACCACCUGGACUGAUACUGACACUGAGGUGCGAAAGCGUGGGGAGCAAACAGGAUUAGAUACCCCCGUAGUCCCUGUCUCUUAUAC